UGGGGAAUAUUGCACAAUGGGGGAAACCCUGAUGCAGCGACGCCGCGUGAGCGAAGAAGGCCUUCGGGUCGUAAAGCUCUUUUAUAUGGGAAGAUAAUGACGGUACCGUAAGAAAAAGCCCCGGCUAACUACGUGCCAGCAGCCGCGGUAAUACGUAGGGGGCUAGCGUUGUCCGGAAUCACUGGGCGUAAAGGGUUCGCAGGCGGCAAUGCAAGUCAGAUGUAAAAGGCAAAGGCUCAACCUUUGUAAGCAUCUGAAACUGUAUAGCUUGAGAAGUGUAGAGGCAAGUGGAAUUUUUAGUGUAGCGAUGAAAUGCGUAGAUAUUAAAAAGAAUACCGGUGGCGAAGGCGACUUGCUGGGCACAAUCUGACGAUGAGGAACGAAAGCGUGGGGAGCAAACAGG
RNAcentral lists this ribosomal RNA (403 nucleotides) under Verrucomicrobiota bacterium. RNAcentral's name for it is "Verrucomicrobia bacterium partial 16S ribosomal RNA". It matches the Rfam family "Bacterial small subunit ribosomal RNA", at positions 355 to 776 of the family's 1533-position model. The record is from RNAcentral. Lineage: Bacteria; Pseudomonadati; Verrucomicrobiota.